GGAUCUUAGCCUUGCAGAUUUUUUCAGUUGGUGAGGUAGCCCUGUUAUGUUAGGCGUAGAUUGAAGGCUUCAAGGAUGUUAUAUGCUUUCAAGUAAUUGUGAUGUUUUCCUGGUUUGAUUCCAGGCCUGACAUUCAGAUCCAAAACUAACAAAUUAUAUGUUUGAAAUAGACUGGGUACAAAUUUUGGUCAAGUCGAGCCAAUUUCGCCAACCUGCUCCACUAGUUCGAAAAUCCGGUCUAAAUUUAUGAUCCAAAUUUGAAGUACGCAUCCAGAUAUUUAGGUUUUAUUUUGGAUCGAUAUAGCUUCAAAUGUCAAGUAUUUUAAUCAUGAGUGAUUUAUUAUAAACUUGCAAUUCUUGGAUUACAAUGUAGAAAAUAUCAACAAAAUUAUCUCUAGGAGAAGCUCUAACUGCAUGUAGGUUCCUCUAAAGGCUUUGCAUACAGUGUAUGCACAAUCAACUCGGCAUAGUUCCAAUAUUUAUUCAAUCUCUUGUAUUAGUUGAGCAUGCUCAAGUUAGGCCAUGAACAAACAUAAAGGUUUAUAAUUCCAUAAUGAUCGUAAGCCUGCUCAAUACUUGAAGAUAAAAGUCAUGUAAUUGCACCAUUUUUCUGAAACGCAGAAGUAUGGCAGUGAGUGCUGUUAUUACCUGUAAUGAAGUGCUUAAGCUUUGGCAAAGAGGGGUUGUCACAUAAAGCUAA
This 700-nucleotide long non-coding RNA is filed under the name Phoenix dactylifera (date palm). RNAcentral's name for it is "long non-coding RNA (PDAC_LNC000264)". The record is from RNAcentral. Lineage: Eukaryota; Viridiplantae; Streptophyta; Magnoliopsida; Arecales; Arecaceae.